Molecule: long non-coding RNA, 241 nt
Filed under: Ornithorhynchus anatinus (platypus)
Lineage: Eukaryota; Metazoa; Chordata; Mammalia; Monotremata; Ornithorhynchidae
Description: lncRNA (ENSOANG00000047448.1)
Source: RNAcentral
UAAUGGACAUCUGUUACUUCCUGAUUGCCAAAGGACUGUCCAGUCCUGCCGAGUGCUGUGAGGGGCCACCUUACGCAGUGGCAGAGUCUGGCAUGCUAGCAGAAUGCUGUGGAGUGGCACGUGUCAGAGGACACCUCAGUUCACGUCGGACCAUUCACAGCAGCAGAAGGGCAGGAUCGGCUGUAGAAAAGUAUAGGCAAAAGAGGGAUGGACUACAGUUAUUCUAAAGCCACAUCAGAAG